Molecule: non-coding RNA, 84 nt
Organism: Beta vulgaris subsp. vulgaris (sugar beet)
Lineage: Eukaryota; Viridiplantae; Streptophyta; Magnoliopsida; Caryophyllales; Amaranthaceae
Source: Rfam
AGGGGCCUGUGAAGAUUUUUCAAAUUUUGCCUACAUUGUCUGACUUAACAAUGAUAAGAUUUAUAUAUUGUGUCUGAGGCCUCU